AGGCAGCAGUGAGGAAUAUUGGUCAAUGGACGAGAGUCUGAACCAGCCAAGUAGCGUGAAGGAUGACUGCCCUAUGGGUUGUAAACUUCUUUUAUAAGGGAAUAAAGUGAGGGACGUGUCCCUUUUUGUAUGUACCUUAUGAAUAAGGAUCGGCUAACUCCGUGCCAGCAGCCGCGGUAAUACGGAGGAUCCAAGCGUUAUCCGGAUUUAUUGGGUUUAAAGGGAGCGUAGGUUGACAUAUAAGUCAGCUGUGAAAGUUUACGGCUCAACCGUGAAAUUGCAGUUGAUACUGUAUGUCUUGAGUGUACAAGAGGUGGGCGGAAUUCGUGGUGUAGCGGUGAAAUGCUUAGAUAUCACGAAGAACUCCAAUUGCGAAGGCAGCUCACUGGGGUACAACUGACACUGAGGCUCGAAAGUGUGGGUAUCAAACAGGAUUAGAUACCCUGGUAGUCCACACAGUAAACGAUGAAUACUCGCUGUUUGCGAUAUACAGUAAGCGGCCAAGCGAAAGCAUUAAGUAUCC
This 523-nucleotide ribosomal RNA is filed under the name uncultured Bacteroidota bacterium. Its description in RNAcentral is "bacterial SSU rRNA". It matches the Rfam family "Bacterial small subunit ribosomal RNA", at positions 346 to 869 of the family's 1533-position model. The record is from RNAcentral. Lineage: Bacteria; Pseudomonadati; Bacteroidota.